This is a long non-coding RNA of Gasterosteus aculeatus aculeatus (three-spined stickleback), 1681 nucleotides long. The record is from Ensembl. NCBI's taxonomy places the organism in Eukaryota, Metazoa, Chordata, Actinopteri, Perciformes, Gasterosteidae.
GGGAGGGAUCCGUGCACGGAGACAGAGACAGACGAUCAUGGACAGCAAACUACGCAGAUGUUAACGUAGGACCAAAGGCUGAGAGCUCAUCGAUGGACAAAUGGUUGCUGAAGAACCCUCAAUCUUUCUGCAUAUGUAAUGGGGACAGGAGUCACAGGAAGAAUGCACCUUCCCCCGUCACCGCUGUGGGGUGCUUCCGUUUCCUGGGCUCCAUCAUCACCCAGGACCUCCAGCGGGAGCUGAACAUCAGCUCCAUCACCAAGAAGGCUCAGCAGCCGAUGUUCUUCCUGAGGCAGCUGAAGAGGUUCAACCUGCUUAAGACAAGGAUGGUACACGGCCAUCAUUGAGUCUUUGCAGGAGGCUGCGGCCCAUCAGGACCAAGACCUCCUGCACAGAAACAGCUUCUUCCCGUCGUCAGUUGGUCUCAUAAACCGAGUCCGAGUCCCCCACGGACCCAGACAUUACAUCCCCAGGACAUUUGCACAGUGGUUUCUCACCAUGGAAACAGGUGUACAUACAUAUGUGUUUUAACGUCCUUAUCUUAUUUGUUUAUAUUGUUCAUUUUUAAUUUGACCUUAUUUUACUUUAUCUUACUUUAUUCUCAUAUUGCACCAAACACCAAAAUAAAUUCCUCUAUGUGUAACACACGUGGCAAUAAACGGCUUCUGAUUGUGAUCGAGCAGACCAGGCUUUUCAGCGUCCAACUGCAACGCCCGAAAAACAUGCUGACUGGCCUGAAAAGACACAACACUUUACCACCACUUCUGUUUCCUAGUCAUCAUUAUGUGUGUGUGUGUGUGUCUGAUGGAUGGGCUGCCCUAAUGUAUUCCACCGCAGUUUAAAUUCAUUACGCCACUUUUCCCAGCUGAUUGUGAUUGUGAAAGAGGGGGCACAGGGUGACUAACACACUGUCUCACCAUCCGUCCUCUUUGUCUCCUGUCUUCUCGAUUCUAAAGCGACCUCUCUUUUCGAAUCUGCAUCUCUCUCUGUGUCUUUUUGUCGGUCCCUCUCAUUAGCCCUUGAUGUCCAUCCUGCUGGACUACAGCAUCUCUCGUGGGGUCAACGAGAGACCACAACCUAAUAACUAAAGAGUGGGCAACCGUGAGGAUUUUGCCGACCCCUCCCCAGGCAGACACUUCAUACGCAUGCUCACUGCUCGUGGACACUCACACACCGCCCGUGUGAUUAGUCAGAAGCGGGGGAACCAAAGUGCACUCAACGUGGGUGAAGUGCGGAGAGCGGAGGAUGGGAGGGGAUUAACAAGGAAGAUCGCAAGAUCAACCAGUGCGAGUAGAGGGAAGGCCAGCGGGGCCGAGAUGAAAGCAGGAGAGUCCAAAUGGUUCAAACAAAAUCAUUUCCUGGUGAUUAGCAUUAGCACAUGCACGGAGCAAUGAGGUGAUAUGAUAAUCAGGGCUCAUCACAACUGUGCCCACAGUUCGUCUUACAGUGCUCCCUGUUCUUGAGUCUCAAUCAAUUUAUCCUGCUUCCUUUCUACUACUAGACUACUACUACUCUUUGUAGGAAUGUCUUCAUUUCUUGCAAACAAUUAGAACGGCAAUAAGGAAAUGAAGUCUGAUUAAACAAGAUUUAACAAGCUAACUGGUUAGCUUUACAGGUGCUGCUGCAUGAAUCUUGAUACCUCGGACAAGGCCAGGUUUCCUCAUUUCCAGUCUUUAUGCUA